GACGAACGCUGGCGGCGUGCUUAACACAUGCAAGUCGAACGGAAAGGCCCUGCUUGCAGGGUACUCGAGUGGCGAACGGGUGAGUAACACGUGGGUGAUCUGCCCUGCACUUCGGGAUAAGCUUGGGAAACUGGGUCUAAUACCGGAUAGGAGCCAUCUUUAGUGUGGUGGUUGGAAAGUUUUUUCGGUGUAGGAUGAGCUCGCGGCCUAUCAGCUUGUUGGUGGGGUAAUGGCCUACCAAGGCGGCGACGGGUAGCCGGCCUGAGAGGGUGUACGGCCACAUUGGGGGUGUGAGACGGCGCCGACACCUACGGGGGGCAGCAGUGUGGAGUAUUGCACAAUGUGCGCGAGACUGAUGCACAGACGCCGCGUGGGGGAUGAAGGGCUUCGGGUUGUAAACUCCUUUCGCUAGGGAGGAAGCUUUUUUGUGACGGUACCUAGAUAAGAAGCACCGGCUAACUACGUG
Molecule: ribosomal RNA, 466 nt
Filed under: uncultured bacterium
Lineage: Bacteria
Description: partial 16S ribosomal RNA
Rfam family: Bacterial small subunit ribosomal RNA
Source: RNAcentral